Molecule: transfer RNA, 77 nt
Filed under: Flavobacteriales bacterium
Lineage: Bacteria; Pseudomonadati; Bacteroidota; Flavobacteriia; Flavobacteriales
Also listed under: 1 other name
Description: tRNA-His
Rfam family: tRNA
About the family: Transfer RNA (tRNA) molecules are approximately 80 nucleotides in length. Their secondary structure includes four short double-helical elements and three loops (D, anti-codon, and T loops). Further hydrogen bonds mediate the characteristic L-shaped molecular structure. tRNAs have two regions of fundamental functional importance: the anti-codon, which is responsible for specific mRNA codon recognition, and the 3' end, to which the tRNAs corresponding amino acid is attached (by aminoacyl-tRNA synthetases). tRNAs cope with the degeneracy of the genetic code in two manners: having more than one tRNA (with a specific anti-codon) for a particular amino acid; and 'wobble' base-pairing, i.e. permitting non-standard base-pairing at the 3rd anti-codon position.
Source: RNAcentral
GUGGUUGUAGCUCAGCUGGUUAGAGCGCUGGAUUGUGGUUCCAGAGGUCGCCGGUUCGAACCCGGUCUUCCACCCUA